Long non-coding RNA from Pogonomyrmex barbatus (red harvester ant), 964 nucleotides. The record is from RefSeq and is a predicted model, not a curated record. Lineage: Eukaryota; Metazoa; Arthropoda; Insecta; Hymenoptera; Formicidae.
AUGGAUUCUGAUGAAGAUACAAUUGAUAUGAACCAAGAUGUUUCAUAUGAGUAUUGUGAGGAAGAUACGGAUACUAUUUUAAUUGAUCUUGUAAAAAGCUUUCCUCAUCUUUAAAAGUAUAGCAGAUUUCCAAAACAUACAUAAAAAGGAUCGCGCAUGGAUCGAAAUCUUUUUCAUUUUAAAGUUAUCAGUUCCAGAUUGUCAAAGUGGAUGGCAAAGGCUUCAAGAAAAAUUUUCUCGCGAAAAAAAAAAAGAGAAUUAGAAAGUCGAAGUGGCAAUGAGGCAUCAACAAGAUCAACGUUUUCAUUAAAUAGUCAAAUGAAACUUGGAUAGUUUUGGAUAGUUUUGGAUAGUUAAAACUAGAAAAUAAGUUUAACUUUUUCUUCAAGAUAAACUAAAUUACAUAUUUUUGUAUUAUUUUCAUAUAAUUUAUGUAAUUUUUUAGACCUUGUACAAAUUUUGGAUCGAAAGGAACUCAUUAUUUUACUGCCAAAAUAAUGCCAAAAAAUACACGUAUUUCAGAAAAAUAUUUGAUACAUACAGUAGCAUCUACAAACAACAUCAUUCCAUCUUUAUCUCAAUCCUCAUCAUUGUUAUUAUCAUCAACUUUAUCUUCUAAUAAUAAUAAAAUAUCUACACAAUCAAUAAAACCAAGUACAAAAGUGAUACUACAAAAAGAAAACAAAUAGAAAUGAAAUAAUAGAAGAGACAAACGAAAUAAAGAAAUCAUUUAUAAAUUUAUCAUCAAUUGUAACUCAACAUCUCUUAGAAAAACAAAAGAUGGAUGAAGAUGAUUUCUUUAGUCAUACUGUUGCAUAUCAAAUACGAAAAAUAGAAGAACUUCGAAAAUCAGAAUUAAAGGGGAAAAUAAUGAAAAUUUUAUAUGAGUUAUAAAGAGCUUUCUUUCUUUUACAUAGCUGGCAAACAUUUGACUCUAUACUUAAAUAAAGUAGAAAUAGCAGAA